Molecule: transfer RNA, 74 nt
Filed under: Pseudomonadota bacterium
Lineage: Bacteria; Pseudomonadati; Pseudomonadota
Also listed under: 5 other names
Description: tRNA-Met
Rfam family: tRNA
About the family: Transfer RNA (tRNA) molecules are approximately 80 nucleotides in length. Their secondary structure includes four short double-helical elements and three loops (D, anti-codon, and T loops). Further hydrogen bonds mediate the characteristic L-shaped molecular structure. tRNAs have two regions of fundamental functional importance: the anti-codon, which is responsible for specific mRNA codon recognition, and the 3' end, to which the tRNAs corresponding amino acid is attached (by aminoacyl-tRNA synthetases). tRNAs cope with the degeneracy of the genetic code in two manners: having more than one tRNA (with a specific anti-codon) for a particular amino acid; and 'wobble' base-pairing, i.e. permitting non-standard base-pairing at the 3rd anti-codon position.
Source: RNAcentral
GGCACAGUAGCUCAGUUGGUUAGAGCACUCGGUUCAUACCCGAGUUGUCGCUGGUUCGAAUCCAGCCUGUGCUA